AAUAAUUUAUUUGAUGGUUUCUUACUACAUGGAUAACUGUAGUAAUUCUAGAGCUAAUACAUGCGUAAAGUCCCGACUCUCGCGGGGAGGGAUGUAUUUAUUAGAUAAAAAACCAAUGCGGGCUCUGCCCGGUUUUGUGGUGAAUCAUAGUAACUUUUCGAAUCGCAUGGCUUCACGCCGGCGAUAGUUCAUUCAAAUUUCUGCCCUAUCAGCUUUCGACGGUAGUGUAGUGGACUACCGUGGCGUUAACGGGUAACGGAGAAUUAGGGUUCGAUUCCGGAGAGGGAGCCUGAGAAACGGCUACCACA
Molecule: ribosomal RNA, 308 nt
Filed under: uncultured eukaryote
Lineage: Eukaryota
Description: SSU rRNA
Rfam family: Eukaryotic small subunit ribosomal RNA
Source: RNAcentral